This 425-nucleotide ribosomal RNA is filed under the name uncultured bacterium. RNAcentral's name for it is "partial 16S ribosomal RNA". It matches the Rfam family "Bacterial small subunit ribosomal RNA", at positions 354 to 796 of the family's 1533-position model. The record is from RNAcentral.
GUGGGGAAUCUUGCGCAAUGGGCGAAAGCCUGACGCAGCCAUGCCGCGUGAAUGAUGAAGGUCUUAGGAUUGUAAAAUUCUUUCACCGGGGACGAUAAUGACGGUACCCGGAGAAGAAGCUCCGGCUAACUUCGUGCCAGCAGCCGCGGUAAUACGAAGGGGGCUAGCGUUGCUCGGAAUUACUGGGCGUACAGGGCGCGUAGGCGGACAGCUUAGUCAGAGGUGAAAGCCCAGGGCUCAACCUUGGAAUUGCAUUUGAUACUGGCUGUCUUGAGUAUGGGAGAGGUGAGUGGAACUCCGAGUGUAGAGGUGAAAUUCGUAGAUAUUCGGAAGAACACCAGUGGCGAAGGCGACUCACUGGCCCAAUACUGACGCUGAGGCGCGAAAGCGUGGGGAGCAAACAGGAUUAGAUACCCGAGUAGUCC